GAUGAACGCUGGCGGCGUGCCUAAUACAUGCAAGUCGAGCGAACGGACGAGAAGCUUGCUUCUCUGAUGUUAGCGGCGGACGGGUGAGUAACACGUGGAUAACCUACCUAUAAGACUGGGAUAACUUCGGGAAACCGUAGCUAAUACCGGAUAAUAUUUUGAACCGCAUGGUUCAAAAGUGAAAGACGGUCUUGCUGUCACUUAUAGAUGGAUCCGCGCUGCAUUAGCUAGUUGGUAAGGUAACGGCUUACCAAGGCAACGAUGCAUAGCCGACCUGAGAGGGUGAUCGGCCACACUGGAACUGAGACACGGUCCAGACUCCUACGGGAGGCAGCAGUAGGGAAUCUUCCGCAAUGGGCGAAAGCCUGACGGAGCAACGCCGCGUGAGUGAUGAAGGUCUUCGGAUCGUAAAACUCUGUUAUUAGGGAAGAACAUAUGUGUAAGUAACUGUGCACAUCUUGACGGUACCUAAUCAGAAAGCCACGGCUAACUACGUGCCAGCAGCCGCGGUAAUACGUAGGUGGCAAGCGUUAUCCGGAAUUAUUGGGCGUAAAGCGCGCGUAGGCGGUUUUUUAAGUCUGAUGUGAAAGCCCACGGCUCAACCGUGGAGGGUCAUCGGAAACUGGAAAACUUGAGUGCAGGAGAGGAAGGUGGAAUUCCAUGUGUAGCGGUGAAAUGCGCAGAGAUAUGGAGGAACACCAGUGGCGAAGGCGACUUUCUGGUCUGUAACUGACGCUGAUGUGCGAAAGCGUGGGGAUCAAACAGGAUUAGAUACCCUGGUAGUCCACGCCGUAAACGAUGAGUGCUAAGUGUUAGGGGGUUUCCGCCCCUUAGUGCUGCAGCUAACGCAUUAAGCACUCCGCCUGGGGAGUACGACCGCAAGGUUGAAACUCAAAGGAAUUGACGGGGACCCGCACAAGCGGUGGAGCAUGUGGUUUAAUUCGAAGCAACGCGAAGAACCUUACCGAAUCUUGACAUCCUUUGACAACUCUAGAGAUAGAGCCUUCCCCUUCGGGGGACAAAGUGACAGGUGGUGCAUGGUUGUCGUCAGCUCGUGUCGUGAGAUGUUGGGUUAAGUCCCGCAACGAGCGCAACCCUUAAGCUUAGUUGCCAUCAUUAAGUUGGGCACUCUAAGUUGACUGCCGGUGACAAACCGGAGGAAGGUGGGGAUGACGUCAAAUCAUCAUGCCCCUUAUGAUUUGGGCUACACACGUGCUACAAUGGACAAUACAAAGGGCAGCGAAGCCGCGAGGUCAAGCAAAUCCCAUAAAGUUGUUCUCAGUUCGGAUUGUAGUCUGCAACUCGACUACAUGAAGCUGGAAUCGCUAGUAAUCGUAGAUCAGCAUGCUACGGUGAAUACGUUCCCGGGUCU
RNAcentral lists this ribosomal RNA (1372 nucleotides) under uncultured bacterium. RNAcentral's name for it is "bacterial SSU rRNA". It matches the Rfam family "Bacterial small subunit ribosomal RNA", at positions 28 to 1381 of the family's 1533-position model. The record is from RNAcentral.